This 1446-nucleotide long non-coding RNA is filed under the name Ananas comosus (pineapple). RNAcentral's name for it is "long non-coding RNA (ACOM_LNC017138)". Lineage: Eukaryota; Viridiplantae; Streptophyta; Magnoliopsida; Poales; Bromeliaceae. The record is from RNAcentral.
AUUGCAAUAAUUCAAAAAAUUCAAGUUAGAAAUUAUAUAGAGUCUGGCUACUAUACUAUAUAUAUACAUAUAGAGUCCGACUACUAUACUCUUAUGAGUACGAUCGUCCUCAUACUCAUAAGUUGUUUUCAAUGAUAGAGCUUCCGAAUCGACAAUCCAUACCGUUAAAUAUUAUUUAGAGCAUUUAAAACUUCUAGAAAUCAAAUUUCAUAAUUUUUCGACAUCAUUUACCUUACGAUCAAAAGGUCACAAAAUUGACAAUUUUUAACGGCCGGUGCGGGAUACUGGCUAGUUUAACAGUGUAAAAGAAUUGGAAUAGGUAGAAAAUUCUAUUUACUACCUAGAUAAAGAUCAAUAACUCCGAUCUUAAAUUAAAGAAUCCGAUCAUCCAUUUUUAUGAUGUCGUUCAAUUUUGACUGUUUAUUUUAUACCCGCUUGAUAGACUUUUUUAUGAUUUCGAAAAAUUACGAAAUUUAUUUUCCAGAGGUUUCAAAUACUCUAAAUCAUAUUUAACAGAGUCGAUCUUCGAUUCGGAAGCUCCAUCAUCGAAAACAACUUAUGAGUACGAAGGGCUCUAUACUUAUAAGAGUAUAGUAGCCCUACUCUAUAUAUAUAUCUAUAUAUAUGUAGAGUGCGUUUGGUAUGCUUCUGGAAGCACGGAGCGCUCCGUGCUUCCAAGUUGUUUUUGAUGUUCGGACUUUCGAAUCGACGAUCGCCUCCGUUAGACUUGAUCUAGAGUAUUUGAAGUAUUUAGAAAAUAAAUUUUGCAAUUUUUCGAUAUCAUUUGGCUAGUGAUUGAAGUCGCUCAAAACCAACAGCUGAAAAUAAAAAUUUUACAAAAUAUGAUGAUAUGAUAUUAAAAUUUUAUAUCAAAGUUAUUGAUCUUGUUUUAUACGGUAUAAAGAAUUUCUAUCAAAAUUUCAUAUGAUUUGGAUAUUUCUACACCGUUAAACUUGCAAACGGCUCACCACGGCCAUUAAAAUUAUUGAUUUUAAGUCCCUUCGAUCACUAGGCAAAUGAUAUCAAAAAAUCACAAAAUUUAUUUUCUAGAUACUUCAAAUACUCUAGAUCAACUCUAACGAAACCGAUCGUCGAUUCGAAAGUCCGAACAUCGAAAACGAUCUAGAAGCACGGAAGGCUCCGUGCUUCCAAAAGCAUAGUAGCCUCACACUAUAUAUAAAUAUAGAGAGAGAAAGAGAAAGUUGAGCUAGAAUACUCCUAAAAGCACCAUGUGAGUGGUGCUUUUGAGUUUUUAGCCUUUGGAUGGAGAGAUGUAUGGUUGGGAUGAUGGUGAUAGGUGGAAUAGUGUUUGAUCCAAGGGCUAUUAGUAAUCAAGGAGUGAUCCAAGGGCUAAAAACUUAGAAGCACCAAGAGAUUGGUGCUCCUAAAAGUAUUCUAGCUCAAUUCUAUAUAUAUAUAUAUAUAUAUAUAUAUAUAUAUAUAUAU